GGGGGGGGCUUUUUUGUUGGUUUCUAGACCGCCGUAAUGAUUAAUAGGGAUAGUCGGGGGCGUCAGUAUUCAAUUGUCAGAGGUGAAAUUCUUGGAUCUAUUGAAGACUAACUACUGCGAAAGCAUUCGCCAAGGAUGUUUUCAUUAAUCAGUGAACGAAAGUUAGGGGAUCGAAGACGAUCAGAUACCGUCGUAGUCUUAACCGUAAACUAUGCCGACUAGGGAUCGGGCGAUGUUUCUUUCUUGACUCGCUCGGCACCUUACGAGAAAUCAUAAGUUUUUGGGUUCUGGGGGGAGUAUGGUCGCAAGGCUGAAACUUAAAGAAAUUGACGGAAGGGCACCACCAGGCGUAAACAAGCAGCAGCGACUCUGCGCCAGAAAGCAGCCCGAAAGGGUGGGUGGUAGCCGGCCUUGAAUGCUAGUCGCCCCGGCGGCAACAUGCCUAAAUUGCGGGAAACUCGCGAAGCCCCUGCUACCAAGCCGCCCGUCGAAAGACGGCGGUGGCCAGGAUAACGUCCUCGGGUACGGUAACAGCGCAGGGUGUAUGUGACGAUCCGCAUCCAAGCCCCUCUGGCUCCGGCCGUGGGGAAGGUUCAGAGACUACAAUGGCGUGGGUCGGCCUGGCCGGCUUAAGGUAUAGUCCAUCCCCCGCCGAAAGGCGCGGGGCUCAGGCAAUGGGAGCCUGCGGCUUAAUUUGACUCAACACGGGGAAACUCACCAGGUUCAGAUGAAAUAAGGAUUGACAGAUUGAGAGCUCUUUCUUGAUUUUUCAGGUGGUGGUGCAUGGCCGUUCUUAGUUCGUGGCGUGAGUUGUCUACUUAACUGUGAUAACGAACGAGACCUUAACCUGCUAAAUAGCCCGGCUAGCUUUGGCUGGUCGCCGGCUUCUUAGAGGGACUAUCGGCUCAAGCCGAUGGAAGUUUGAGGCAAUAACAGGUCUGUGAUGCCCUUAGAUAUUCUGGGCCGCACGCGCGCUACACUGACAGAGCCAACGAGUUCAUCACCUUGGCCGGAAGGUCUGGGUAAUCUGUAAACUUUCCC
RNAcentral lists this ribosomal RNA (1041 nucleotides) under Ascomycota sp. 14E-1. Its description in RNAcentral is "partial 18S ribosomal RNA". It matches the Rfam family "Eukaryotic small subunit ribosomal RNA", at positions 829 to 1566 of the family's 1831-position model. Lineage: Eukaryota; Fungi; Ascomycota. The record is from RNAcentral.